GGACCUGAAGAUCGGGUUGACACUAUUACAAAGCUUUGACCUGUAUCUGAGAAACUCUAGGAGGAGGAGGAACCAUGAGACCUGUUCGGAACAAGAUGUGGAGGAGAAGGAUGUUACUUCUUUCAGAAUUCAGAGCCUGAUUAUCAGAAGAAUGCAAGAUCUUGAAUUUGCCUGCAGCAAAUUAUUUAUUCAUGCUAGUUUACCAGGUAUACUUAAGAUGAAAGGAGAGCUCACCCUAUUCCGGAAAGAAAUCAAGUUGUUUUUCAAGACAGAUAUCAACGAAUCGUGUAUCAACUUUCUGUUGGACUAUUAUUGGCUGAGGGAUCCAGGACUAGUUAUUGAUUUCAUUGAUUUGGUUUCAAAGAUUCUGAUCGAACUUCUCCUCAAAAGUCAGAUAUCCCAUUUC
RNAcentral lists this long non-coding RNA (406 nucleotides) under Coffea arabica (coffee). RNAcentral describes it as "long non-coding RNA (CARA_LNC006372)". The record is from RNAcentral. Lineage: Eukaryota; Viridiplantae; Streptophyta; Magnoliopsida; Gentianales; Rubiaceae.